This 497-nucleotide ribosomal RNA is filed under the name uncultured bacterium. RNAcentral describes it as "partial 16S ribosomal RNA". It matches the Rfam family "Bacterial small subunit ribosomal RNA", at positions 28 to 507 of the family's 1533-position model. The record is from RNAcentral.
GAUGAACGCUGGCGGCGUGCCUAAUACAUGCAAGUCGAGCGAACGGACGAUAAUCUUGCUUCUCUGAUGUGAGCGGAGCACGGGUGAGUAACACGUGUAUAACCUACCUAUAAGACUGGGAUAACUUCGGGAAACCGGCGCUAAUACCGGAUGAUAUUCUGAACCGCAGGGGUCAAAAGUGAAAGACGGUGUUGGUGUAACUUAUAGAUGGAUCCCGGCUGCAUGAGCUAGUUGUGAAGGUAAAGGCUUACCAAGGCUACGAUGCGUAGCCGACGGGAGAGGGGGAUAGGCCACACUGGAACUGGGCCGCGGUCCUGGCGCCUACGAGAGGCAGCAGUCGGGAAUCGUCCGCAGUGGGCGAGAGCCUGACGGAACGGCGCCGCGUGAGUGAUGACGGUCCUCGGAUCGUGAUAAUCUGUUAUUAGGGAUGAACAUAUUUGUACGUAACUGAGCACUUCUUGACGGUAACGGGUCAAGAAGCACCGGCUAACUACGUG